AUUGCCUCAGUAACGGCGAGUGAAGCGGCAACAGCUCAAAUUUGAAAUCUGGCCCUAGGCCCGAGUUGUAAUUUGCAGAGGAUGCUUUUGGCGCGGUGCCUUCCGAGUUCCCUGGAACGGGACGCCAUAGAGGGUGAGAGCCCCGUCUGGUCGGACACCAAGCCUCUGUAAAGCUCCUUCGACGAGUCGAGUAGUUUGGGAAUGCUGCUCAAAAUGGGAGGUAUAUGUCUUCUAAAGCUAAAUACCGGCCAGAGACCGAUAGCGCACAAGUAGAGUGAUCGAAAGAUGAAAAGCACUUUGGAAAGAGAGUUAAACAGCACGUGAAAUUGUUAAAAGGGAAGCGUUUAUGACCAGACUUGGGCCGGUUGAUCAUCCAGCGUUCUCGCUGGUGCACUCUGCCGGUCCAGGCCAGCAUCAGUUCGCUGCGGGGGAUAAAGGCGUCGGGAAUGUGGCUCCUCGGAGUGUUAUAGCCCUUCGCGCAAUACCCUGUGGCGGACUGAGGUUCGCGCAUUCGCAAGGAUGCUGGCGUAAUGGUCAUCAACGACCCGUCUUGAAACACGGACCAAGGAGUCGUCUUCGUAUGCGAGUGUUCGGGUGUAAAACCCCUACGCGUAAUGAAAGUGAACGCAGGUGAGAGCUUCGGCGCAUCAUCGACCGAUCCUGAUGUUCUCGGAUGGAUUUGAGUAAGAGCAUACGGGGCCGGACCCGAAAGAAGGUGAACUAUGCCUGUAUAGGGUGAAGCCAGAGGAAACUCUGGUGGAGGCUCGCAGCGGUUCUGACGUGCAAAUCGAUCGUCAAAUAUGGGCAUGGGGGCGAAAGACUAA
This 824-nucleotide ribosomal RNA is filed under the name Stachybotrys microspora. RNAcentral's name for it is "partial large subunit ribosomal RNA". It matches the Rfam family "Eukaryotic large subunit ribosomal RNA", at positions 74 to 934 of the family's 3401-position model. Lineage: Eukaryota; Fungi; Ascomycota; Sordariomycetes; Hypocreales; Stachybotryaceae. The record is from RNAcentral.